GAAUGUUUACUAGGAUUAAAUGUCAGGAAUUGUGAGAAACUGAGUUGAAAUGUAUUUGGCUAAGGUGUAUGUAAACUUCCGACUUCAACUGUAUAUGCAGAGAAAAAGGGUCGGCCCGAGAAUUGAACCCUGUGGCACCCCCAUAGAGACUGCAAGUGAAGGAUGUCUGGAAUGCAGUAAAUGAAAUGGUGUCAUACACGUGUGUGGUUGAUAUCAUUCCAUUGACUCCAUUCCAGCCAGGAAGUAUGCGAGAACAAUGUACAGGUAAUUACCUUUGCACUCAAUAGCAGCAUCCAAGCCUCCACCGAGUAUGGAUGGGAGCCGCAGCUGUUGACUGAGGUAAACAAUGCAAUUGUAUAUACAAUUAUCACAUAUAUUAUAGUCUUUCAAAUGUGUGAUUGACUUAGUGUUGUUAUUUGUCUAUUGCUAUUUUUGAAUAUAGUACUUUCAGAUCACUGAAACCCCACCUGAUGUGGUGGAAGUUGUCGAACCAGAUCGGAACGCCUUUGAGGACCACCUUCAGGCACGGACUGAGAAGGAUGUGGAGGUUUUUGACCAUGUAAAAAUAAUUGUCUACUGUUAAUUUAUAUACUGGCCCUCCAAGAGAUAUGUAAGAAAUGUAUUUGUAAUACAGGUGAGACUGAACAUUAUCAAGGUGCAGGAGAAACAGAAGGAGAGCUACCGGAGCAGAAUCAAAAAGGGGACCAAGUGCUACGACCUUCCGGGCGAAUUACUUGGUUUGGAAGAAGGACGAAAGGAUGGCGAGAUCUGAGAAACCUCGCUGCUCUGGGGUCAUGAUCUUUUAAGGGUUACCUCAGUGGAAACAAACAAUCUCCAGUUUUAGCAGUUGGACGGUCGACCACUGAAGCACUGUCGCCCUACACUUCAGUGAAGCCCAAUAGACAAAGACCUAGGGGUUCUGCCCAACACCCAGAUGUGGAUCCACCUGAUGUCCUCCAUUACCAACCAACCUUCAACUUUUCAUUACAUCGUCUACAGCUACUGUUAUUGUCAUGAUGUCAUUAUCUGCUAAGAUAGUUUUCUUGCUCUAUUAUAUUGGGCACAUAAUAUGUGAGAUACACAGAUUAACUAAAAACACUAGCACUGCAAACACUCAGAACAAAGGAAGCAGCAGUGCCUGGACUUCUGUCUCCCUCUUAAGUCCCCCUUUCGAGACUGACAGGCAUAACCUCCCACCCACACAGCAAUCACCUCAAUAUUCCACACACCAGAAUUCAGUAUUUUAGUCUGAUUGCCAUGUGAGUGUACACUUUUUUUUUUACUGACACAAGUCUACCAAAAAAUAUAAAAGUUUAUGUAUUAAAAUUAAAAAGUUGUACGGUA
This is a long non-coding RNA of Salmo salar (Atlantic salmon), 1344 nucleotides long. RefSeq lists it as uncharacterized. The record is from RefSeq and is a predicted model, not a curated record. Lineage: Eukaryota; Metazoa; Chordata; Actinopteri; Salmoniformes; Salmonidae.